This 427-nucleotide ribosomal RNA is filed under the name uncultured bacterium. RNAcentral's name for it is "partial 16S ribosomal RNA". It matches the Rfam family "Bacterial small subunit ribosomal RNA", at positions 355 to 774 of the family's 1533-position model. The record is from RNAcentral.
UGGGGAAUAUUGCACAAUGAGCGCAAGCCUGAUGCAGCCAUGCCGCGUGUAUGAAGAAGGCCUUCGGGUUGUAAAGUACUUUCAGCGGGGAGGAAGGCGAUAAGGUUAAUAACCUUGUCGAUUGACGUUACCCGCAGAAGAAGCACCGGCUAACUCCGUGCCAGCAGCCGCGGUAAUACGGAGGGUGCAAGCGUUAAUCGGAAUUACUGGGCGUAAAGCGCACGCAGGCGGUCUGUCAAGUCGGAUGUGAAAUCCCCGGGCUCAACCUGGGAACUGCAUUCGAAACUGGCAGGCUAGAGUCUUGUAGAGGGGGGUAGAAUUCCAGGUGUAGCGGUGAAAUGCGUAGAGAUCUGGAGGAAUACCGGUGGCGAAGGCGGCCCCCUGGACAAAGACUGACGCUCAGGUGCGAAAGCGUGGGGAGCAAACA